This is a non-coding RNA of Salmo salar (Atlantic salmon), 255 nucleotides long. NCBI's taxonomy places the organism in Eukaryota, Metazoa, Chordata, Actinopteri, Salmoniformes, Salmonidae. The record is from RefSeq and is a predicted model, not a curated record.
GGUCCUAUGGUGGAGGGGCUCACAGCUCACAGAGUGGAGGUGAUCAGGUCCUAUGGUGGAGGGGCUCACAGCUCACAGAGUGGAGGUGAUCAGGUCCUAUGGUGGAGGGGCUCACAGCUCACAGAGUGGAGGUGAUCAGGUCCUAUGGUGGAGGGGCUCACAGCUCACAGAGUGGAGGUGAUCAGGUCCUAUGGUGGAGGGGCUCACAGCUCACAGAGUGGAGGUGAUCAGGUCCUAUGGUGGAGGGGCUCACAG